GCACCUCUAAAGUAAAAUGCAAAAGCAUCACGAAAGUGACAAUCUUUUAAAUAUAUUCAAAUAGCCGCACCUCUAACUAUAAUAUAUUCAAAUAGUAUAGCCACGCGGCUAGACUGGGUGAUAAUCUUUUAAUAUAUAUUGGCAUCCCUUUUUUUUUUUUCCCUAAUUUUUUUCCCCGAUUAUUUUCAUUUAUGAUAAGAUUAGUUUAGAGCAUUAUCCGAAUCUUUAUUGUCCCAUUUUGAUUUUUUACUUUUCCAGAGUUAUUACCAAUAUAAAGAAUUUAGCCUUUUCUCAUUUAAUACUCC
Molecule: long non-coding RNA, 305 nt
Filed under: Prunus persica (peach)
Lineage: Eukaryota; Viridiplantae; Streptophyta; Magnoliopsida; Rosales; Rosaceae
Description: long non-coding RNA (PPER_LNC007370)
Source: RNAcentral